CCGACCGAGGACCGAUCUGCAAGAAGCGGUCCAACGAGAUCGCACGUCGGAGGCGAACGUUCAGUUCUCGUUGUGGAAAAACUGGUCCCCACUGGACACAUCGUUUCUUCUCGUCCAACGGUUUCGUUGUUGCUGGGCGACGUGAAAUUUAGUCUGUUUAUCGAUUCAUCAAGGACACUAUACAGGAUCGUAUUUGAAAAUAUACUGAGGGUACGUACGAGGGUUACGCAUAAUGCACAGCGACCGUUGGCAACGAUAGCAUAGUAAAAUACCGGUGGCAGCUGUUAAACUGCCAGUUUUGAAAAGUAUACCUCCGUCACACCCUGCCAUUGACUCUUUUCUUUGUGGCUGGGAACUGAAAAAGCUGUAUUGAAUCAAGAAAAUAAGAAAAAGAUGAAUAAGAAACUAAAUUCUGAACACGAGGCAAACAAUCGAACCAACGAAUCACUUGUGUAAUUGCGCAUGCUUGGCACGCGCUUUUGCACAUAUGUACAUAGUUGCACGAAUGGUGGAGCCACAUAUUCUAUUAGUUGUAUUCUAUUAAUUAUUUUUAAAAAUUUAAUUAAAAAUUAUUAUAAUUUAAUUAGAAAUGAAGCAUCGUGAUAAAAUAUGCAUAUGAUAAAAUUUAUUGAUAAAAUAUUGAUAAAAUAAUAAAAAAUUAUAAUUUAAAAGAUAUUAUGAUUAAGGCCUUCUGGUUUAUGUAUCUUAUAAUUUAUUACAAAUAAAUAAAUAUUUUAAAAACUACAAAUUUAAAAUAAAUAUUAAACUUCAUAUUAAAGUAAAAUUAAAAAAUUAAAAAAAGACUCAUAAGUUUGAUAAUUCAAUAGAAACUAUUAUAAAAAUAGAAUAUAGCCGGAAUUGAAUUUUUGCUUUGAGAAUGUUUUCCAAUAUAGGUUAUUACGUAAGAAAUAACUUAAGGUAUGUAUCGGUUGAAAUAUAAAAAUCGAAAUAAAACUUAGAAACAAUUAUGUAUAAGAAAAUAAACAAUUUUGUGAGAAAAGAAAAGAUUAAUUUAUUAAAGAACUCGAAGAACUUUGAAAAAUUCGAAUUAAUAAUAUGAGAAUUUAUUCGGAUAUAUUGAAUUUAAGCAUCAAAUUAUACUAAUUAUGUUUCAGUAAUUAAUAUGAUUCUUACAUAUAGAUAUGCAUAUACAUAUCCGUGUAUAUUGUAUACACGGAAUAAUUUAUAAAUAAAAUAACUUUUCAUAUAAAUAAUGAAAACUGAAUAAAUUGUAAAAUAUAUAAAAGAGCUCCUGCAUUAUAUGCAACAUAAUCUGCGCAAUUGUGAACAUGAUUACAGUGACACAUAAGUAUACAUAAUUUAUGCCAUUCGUAUAAUAAAUAAAAUUUAAUUUACUUUACUUUACUAUUUAUUUUAUUUAUACAUACAUAUAUAUGUAUGUAUUAUAAUAAUCAAUAUAUAAGCUCUUUAAUUCCAAAAUAAAUUUCAAAAUAUUAAUAUUUUAUAUAAUAAAUUCAGAUAUAAUUAUAGAGGUAAACCUUUAAGCUUAAGCUUUUAAAAAAAAAUAUUAUUUCUAUUAUAUUUGUUCGUAAAAAUUAUAUUUUAAUCUUAUUAACUUAUUUUCUUAUUAAAAACUUAAUUGUUUUUUUCAGCUCAAUUGAAUUAAUCCUAAUUAAUCCUAUUCUAUAUAUUCUAAAUUAAUUCUAUAUAUUCUAAAUUAUCCAAAUAAAUCCAAUCUAUUGAAACUUCGAAUUUUAUAUUUUCAAUGAAUAAUCAAACCGAAAUGAUCAGAUUGAAUCGAUCAUCAAUUUAUAUUUAUUAUAUUAUUAAUGCAAUAUUAACAAAAAAGAUAAACCAAAAGAUUCUAACCUGUUUUCACCGCAUAUGUUAAUGAGGAUGGAAGAUAUUAUCGGUUCACAUACGUCUUUCGAUGGAGCGCGAUUUACAAGGCAAAAGUUAGAAAGCAUGGCUCCGUCUGUUUCCGAAACAUUGAGAUUUCUACAGAUAAAGAUACAUUUGAACAUGUAUUGCGCAUUUUCGUUAACUUUUGAUUUCAUGUGACUUUAAAACUUGUUAAUAUUAUCCAAGACCAUCUUCAUGUCAAUGUGAAUUUAUUUACUCAAUUUAUUUUCAAACUAUGACUUCCAUGUAAACAGACAUCACAUAUAUUCACGUAUUAUAAUUUCAGGAUUAAUGUGUUAUUCUACCAUGUAAUUAUACUGACAAAAUAGAUUUAUUGAUUCUUAUUUGACAGCAAAUCAAAUAUAAAUAUGAAAAUAUCUCUAUAAUAUGAUGAUUUUAUUUUACAAUAUUUUACAAUUGUUAAUAUGUAUAAUUGUUAAAUCGCGAAGAUAGACUUCCUAAAAAGAUAUAGAUAAAAAUAAUGUAUAUUAUCAUAUAUUAAAUAUGAUUCAAUGAUUGGAUCAUAAUGAUUAAAUCCCACAGAAUCAUAUGUGCAGGUGAACGUAAUCUAAUCCAACAAUAUGAUACAAUACAAGAGAAUCAUUAUUCCAAAGUGCAAAACAACAUGGUAGACAGUUAGUUUUUAAUCAAGAAGGAAAUAUACGGUAUUACAUACGUGGUAGUAGAAAAAUCAUGGCAGUGAAAGGACAGUGUAUAAGUAAAGUGACGAGAAGAAGCGUCGAGUCGUGUGUGAGAUCUGCAGGAACACGAGAUAACGGUGUGUAAUGAGGACAUUCUUGAAAGCACUCGAAAUGCAAUCUCUGCACAGCCGACAAAUUGUCUGAGAACAGUGUCGUUCUCAGAGCUGGGCCAGAGGCUGCCAUCAGCCGUAAUUAAUUGUAAUUACGGAUAAUUAGCAGGAUCCCUAACUCUUAUGUAAUCAGAUCCCACUGUUUCGUAUGCAGAAAUGGAUGAAUGGAUGUAUACAAAAUAACAUCAUUUUGAAAAUUAGGAUAUUAAUUGUUCUGCUGAUUAUUGCAUAAAAUAUAAAGAAUAUAAAAUUUAAUAGAUAUAGAAUUUUGAUCGUAAUUUUAUCAUUUUAUCAUGUUGAGAAAUUUUUAAUAAUUUUCUGCAUUAUAGAGAAUUUUUAUAACUUUGUCCGAGAAUUCAUUACUUAUAAUUCUUUCAUUAAUCAAUCACUAUAUAAAAGUAUCUUGAAAUCUAUAUUUUUUAAAUUACUUUUAUUUAGCUUCACUAAUUUAAUUUUUCAGCAAAAAUAUAUUGCUUUAUCUUCUAAACUUUGCUCAAUUUUUAGUUCAAAAAUCAUUAAUUUGAUAAAACUAUUAAACUAAUUAUUAAAAGAAAGUUUUCAGGAAAAAUAAUAAAAAAAACAAAAUCAUAUAAAAAAUUUUUCCUUAAGAAGGAAAAAAUCCAAGAAAGUAAAAGAAUGUUCCAAAGCUAUAAAACUUUGAUAGUUGAAGAGAAGUUCUCUUAAAUGUAUUCUUUGUUGACCAUUCCAGAACUAACUAAUGUCGAACACCUGCAGCCGUCCCAUUGAAAUGCUCCCGCCAAACGCUCGAUCGAUGAAACCUCGAUGAAUUCAUAUCACUUCCCGUCAGAACGGAAACGCCGUGGAUGGAAUAACUGAACGAUUGGAAACGCAUCUACACUUGUAAGCGAUCGUUUCCUUGCAACUAGGCGGGGCAUCCUCAUCGAUGCAUCUCCGUGCCAAAAAGAUGCGUGUCUUCAAUGUUUAACGAUGGAAUCAACGGAGUGAAUUCAGAUCGCCACGACACGGCUAUCAUUCUAAAUUGAACGCUUUUUCCCUUUUGCGUUCUCUCUUGGCAACCGGUCUUGAUCGGAUCGCCAUGGUUCCACGAGCCAAUUUACCAGGCAACAGGUGAUGAUUUAACACGAUGCACGGUCUAGAAUGAUAGGGUUUAAUGUAAUGGAACUUGACCUAAGUUGGUUGCCAAGAGAAACGAUAUGAUGGCAAGGAGAGAAAAUAGUUUGAUCAGAUAUAUGGAAAUACACAAAAAGUCAUUUGACCAUUGAAAGAUCAUCGUUUAAACAGUGCCAAUCAAAUCUCAGCGAGAAAGUUCACGUUAAUAACACAAAAAUAUGGCUAUUUAAAUUUAACCGGCCAAGCAUCUCAAGAAAAUCACGUUGAAAGAACAAGUAGAACAUCUAAGUACAAUAAUCUUCCUAAGACGAAUUUGAUAUAUCUUAAUUUGAAUAAUCAAGAGAACAUUCCAAGAAAAGAGAAGAAAAAGAGUAUAAGGACAACCGUUGAAAUGGACUGAGAGAAAUUGAUCGAGUUUCGAUUUUCAUGGGAUCUGGUUAAGUAAAAAUUCAUCAGUUGGACUGAUUUUCUUGUUGUUGGCAUGCCGUCCGAUAAGCAUGGUGUUAAGGUUACCUAAGCACUUUCUAUGCCAGUCGAUGGUCGCUCGCUUUGAACGAACCUCGAUUCGGAAUGGAAAUUAUGUCGUCGGUCGUUGUUACGUGGAAUGUCGUUCUCCGAUAAUGAGGGACAUCACCAAGGAUACGUGCUUGCUUAAACCGCUGUUGUUUGAUUUCAUUCACGAGAAGCUUGUACCAUGCCCACUUUUAUUGAAUUAUUAAUGCGAUCCCAAGAUUUGAUAAUAAUACAUACUUAAUGAGGUCACUGAUACAUAAUAGUAUUAGAUGUUUAUUAUAAUUCAUUCACAAGAAGUUUGCAUCCUUUUGAUAUGAAAUACCCUAUUAAACAAAAAGGAAUUUUUAUUGUACAAGUAUUAUUGACAAAAAAACUAUUGAAAUACAGAAUGAUUAGGUUUAUCUUUAUAUUUCUAUUAUAAUAUUGCAUUAAUUGUAUUAAAAAAAAGAAAAAAUUGUCUCAAGAGAGUUGAGUUUAUUAUCAAAAUCAAAGUAAUUUAAACAAGAAGAAGAAAUAAGAAGAGAGAUAUCUUUGAGGAUGGCAAGUAUAAUCUCUAAUAAAUAAUUAUUAUUAUUUUUAUCUAAGGUACCUUGUGUAAUAUACAUAUAUAAAACUGAAAACGAUACCAUAGACUGAGCAUAAAGAUCGAUUGAAGAUAGCGGUUCGCUCAUGGAAAGAAACGUUAAUCUAUGUCCAACAUACUCCAGGAGCCGGAAUUAGUUUACCAGCCGGACAAUCGCGCAUUAAUCUUCUGUUGCAUUCGAAGAGAGAAAGAGAGAGAGAAGAGGCUCUUCUUAUUAGGGAGAAACGGGAGUAUUGUGAGAAUCUAGCUUUUGGAACUAUCCUAUCUGAGCAACAAUGGAUCUGCCUGCUAGAAGAAUUACAAGCGAAAAAGGACUUAAAUCUAACUGCAUAAAAGACCUUCGACAAUUUAUGAUUCACAGGAAAUAAUUUUG
Long non-coding RNA from Apis cerana (Asiatic honeybee), 5235 nucleotides. RefSeq lists it as uncharacterized. NCBI's taxonomy places the organism in Eukaryota, Metazoa, Arthropoda, Insecta, Hymenoptera, Apidae. The record is from RefSeq and is a predicted model, not a curated record.